This 261-nucleotide long non-coding RNA is filed under the name Gossypium raimondii (Peruvian cotton). RNAcentral's name for it is "long non-coding RNA (GRAI_LNC009339)". Lineage: Eukaryota; Viridiplantae; Streptophyta; Magnoliopsida; Malvales; Malvaceae. The record is from RNAcentral.
UCGAAAAAGAUCAUUCCUCAACAAAAGGAUUCUAGAAGGAAAUGAAUGCUAAGCCGGGGAUGUCCCUGUGUUGUAAAGAAGACCUUUUUCAGAGGAGCACUGAUCCUGAGUAAGAUUGCUAGUCCUAUAAACUCAGAUCUAGUCAAGAAAUACUUCGUUUAAAGAAAAAGAAAGGACCAAUGUGAAAACCUGCAAAGGGGACUUUGAGUAAAAAAAACAAGAAAAAUGAAAAUGAAAAAUAAAAAAAUGAUGAAAAAGUAA